AGAGUUUGAUCCUGGCUCAGAACGAACGCUGGCGGCAUGCCUAAUACAUGCAAGUCGAACGCCUCGAGCGAUCGAGGAGUGGCGCACGGGUGAGUAACGCGUGGGAACCUGCCCUGGAGUUUGGGAUAACCCGGCGAAAGCCGGGCUAAUACCGGAUACGCCCUAAGGGGGAAAGAUUUAUCGCUCUAGGAGGGGCCCGC
RNAcentral lists this ribosomal RNA (200 nucleotides) under uncultured bacterium. RNAcentral's name for it is "partial 16S ribosomal RNA". It matches the Rfam family "Bacterial small subunit ribosomal RNA", at positions 8 to 234 of the family's 1533-position model. The record is from RNAcentral.